RNAcentral lists this ribosomal RNA (2442 nucleotides) under Ptilocaulis walpersi. Its description in RNAcentral is "LSU rRNA". It matches the Rfam family "Bacterial large subunit ribosomal RNA". Lineage: Eukaryota; Metazoa; Porifera; Demospongiae; Axinellida; Axinellidae. The record is from RNAcentral.
UAGUGGUUAGUAAAAAUAAGUAACGAAUGGAUAACUAGAAUAUUAUAAAUAAACGUAAAAAUAACGAAAAGGGUAUAAUAAAAUAAAUACCAAAGAGCGGAAACGGAUUUUUAAAAAACUUUAAGAAUUGAAACAUCUUAGUAUUAAAGGAAAAAAAAAUCAAACGAGAUUCUGCGAGUAGUGGCGAGCGAAAGUGGAGGAGAGGUUUAAUUUAUUAAUUGAAUCCAAAGAAGGUUAUAGUCCUUUAAAUUAAUAAAUUAAAUGGUGAAUUUGAGUAGAAUUAUUUGAAGAAAGGUGUACCAUACAUCUAAUUUUUAAUAUUAUAAUAUAUCGAUAGCGAAUAGUACUGUGAAGGAAUGUUGAAAGAGAUUAUAAUGAAAUAGAGCUUCAAAUUCGUUAUUUAUAAGCAAACGAUUGCGUNGUACCUUUUGUAUAAUGGGUUCAUUAGUUAAAUAUUUAGCAACUUUAAAUUUAUAAAUGAAGAGGUAGUGAAAACGAGUAAGAUUGAGCUUUAGUUAAAUAGAACCCGAAAUCAAGUGAUCUAAUCAUGGAUAGUUUGAAACUUUUUAAAAAAAGGUGGAGGAACGCACCGGUGAUUGUGGCAAAAAUCUCGGAAAAUCUGUGAUUAGGGGUGAAAUACUAAUCGAACUUGAAUUUAGCUGGUUUUCUGCGAAAAUUAUUUUAGUAAUGCGUCAUACAAUGAAUUUUUACAAAGUAAAGCACUGAAUAAACCCUAUUAAGGGAUUAAUUAAACUGUGAAAAUGUAAGAAUAAGUAUGAUAGACAGACAGUGGGCGAGAAGGUCUAUUGUCAAGAAGGAAACAACCUAGAUCAGAAGUUAAGGUCAUUAAUAAAAUUAUUUAAGUGUAAAAGGAAAUUUUAAUAUAAAAACAAUAAGAAAGUAAGCUUGGAGCCAGCUAUCUUUGAAAGAUUGCGUAAUAGUUCACUUAAUAAAACUCAAAAUUCUGAAAAUUAGGGUGGCUUAAAUAUCAAACCAAAACUCUGAACUUAUGUAGUGGUAGUAGAACGUUUUGUAAUAAUUUUAAAUUGUAAAAACAUAAUCAAAAGUGAUAAUGUGAACAUGAGUAAAAAACAAUGUGAAAAUCAUUGUUCAUGACCCAGGGUUUUCAAUUAUAGGAUGAUCUAAAUUGAAUUACACAGUUUCUAAGAAUAUAAUUAAAUUUAAUGGAAAUAAAUAAUAAAUAAAUAAAAUAUAGAAAAAAAUUAUUUAAUAUCGUUCUUAAAUAAAUAAACUGUACCAAACUAACUCGAGUGGGUAAUUAAGUGGUGGUAGAAUUUAUCUUAAGGAACUCGGCAAAAUAUUCCUGUAAGUUCGCGAGAAAGGAAGCUAAUUUCAAUAAAUUAAAUAAAUUAUUGAUUAAGCCUCAGAAAAAAGAGAGUGUCGACUGUUUACCAAAAACAUAGCUUUCAGCUAAGAAUCCUAGAUUUUAAGUAUUGAAGGUGAUGCCUGCCCAGUGAUUGUAUCUGAAUUUAAACAAUAAAUGUUGAUUAAGAAAGGACAAUUAAAUGGCCGCGGUAAAUCUGACCGUGAUAAUGUAGCGCAAUCAAUAGCCAAUUAAUUGUUGGCAAGUAUGAAUGGCUUAACGAAUACUCUACUGUCUCAAGAUAAAUACCAAUGAAAUUGAAUUUAUAGUGAAGAUGCUAUAUACAAAUUGUAAGACGAGAAGACCCCAUUGAGCUUUACUGGAAAUUUAUAUAGUUAUUUUUAAUUAAUUGUAUAGACUAUAUGGGUAAUAAUUUAAUGAAAAACCAUUCUUUAAUUAAAAAAUUACUAAAUUAAUCAUAAUAUAAGUUGGACAGUUUGGUUGGGGUGACAGCCUUCUAAAAAGUAACGAAGGUAUACAUAAGGUGAAUAAAUAAUAGUUUAUUAAGCCUGACAAUUAGGAUAACUUCUAAAUUGACACAUUUAUUGACUAUAGGUCUAAAUUGUGAGUUAUAAUGACCCGUUAAUUAUAAGUGGGUGUAUUAACGAGUAAUGGAUAAAAGUUACCAUGGGGAUAACAGCGUUAUAUCGUUUGAGAGUUCAUAUUGACGACGAUGUUUGCGACCUCGAUGUUGAAUUGUGGUAUCCUAGAGGUGCAGCAGCUUCUAAGGGUUGCACUGUUCGUGCAUUAAAACCGCACAUGAUUUGAGUUCAGACCGGCGUGAGCCAGGUCGGUUUCUAUCUACAAUUUGUAUAAGAGACAAAAUAUAUCUAUAUUCUAGUACGAAAGGAUCGAAUAUUUAGUUAUCCGCUGGUGUACCAAUUCUUUUUUAUUGUUGGGUAGCUAUGAUAAAAUCAAUAAUUACUGAAUGCAUCUGAAGUAAGAAAUGGUUUUUAUUUGUCUCUUAAUUUAUAUCGUUUUAGAUAAGAACGUUGAUAGGGUUUAAGUGUGUAGAUUAAUCUUAAAACUACUAAACAUAUAAAACACUAAUCAUUAUU